Molecule: long non-coding RNA, 1101 nt
Filed under: Chrysemys picta bellii (western painted turtle)
Lineage: Eukaryota; Metazoa; Chordata; Testudines; Emydidae
Description: lncRNA (ENSCPBG00000002251.1)
Source: RNAcentral
AACUCUGUCUGAUCAGGGUGAUACCCUAGCCAGGGCACAAGGAGACCAGAAAGGUAAUUUGGUUGUGGUACCUACGGACAGUUUAAGAACUUGUAGCAAAAAGGAAAAAAUUCCUAAGCUUGUGUGUGGCAAAGAGAAGGGAAAUAUUUCUAACCUUUUAUCUAGGAAGUCUAUGGGUUUGCCUGAAAGGGGAUUGUGUAGAGAUCUGCCUGAUGGGCCAAAGGUGAUCCUGAAUGCAAGUAAGACCCAGACAGAAUCUGUUGUUGCUCAGGAAAGUGUUCCUUUAGAGCAAGCCCUGGGUGAAGAGGGUAAGGGCAGAAUUUCUGUGAGGGGUGAAUUGCUGCUUAGAAAAGCUCCUGGAGAAAGGAAUCCUCAUGGUAAUCGGUGCAAGCAGUUCCCUGCAACUGAAGGGUGUGAGAGUGAUUUAAUCAAGGAAGUUUCAGUUCCUAGCAGCCAAAAAUUGUCUGUUGUGAAUGGAUCCACUGACUUUCCUUGUAAAAGAUCCAGUGUGGGUAGCUUUGAGAAGGUCUCAGGGGAAGUAAAAGUUGUUAAGGAAUUGAGGCAGCCCUAUAACCAAGUGGCUGUGUGGGGCCAACUUGUUGGGGAGACAAUGGUGUUGGAACAGGAAUGUCUCCUUUCUGAUUCUUUAAAUGAGCAGUUUGUGCUUCAGGGUUUGAGGACAGAUUUGGUUACUGAUGUGUCAGAGCAGAGCAGUUUUAUGGCUAAAUGCUUGAGGAUGCGGGGGAGAGCAAGCAAACUCUCACCCACAGACUCUUUGGAUUUGUGUGGUAUAUCUUUAAGACAGAGUCCAGCCUUGGAAAUGAUAGCAGUUAUGAAUAUGAAAACUGGUGGACUGGCUCUGGUCUGGGGUAGUGCAAAUUACUUGCCUGGCUGGGAAAGGGAGGACUUGCUAAUAGCUGUUAGCACAGAGGGCCCACCCCAUCAGCCAGUGAAUUCUGUUAAGCAAGAGAAAUCAGGGUUUGAUCCUGCAGGACAAGGAGGAAAGAGAAAACUGAAUUUUGCAAAGGGAAGCCACAGGUUAACCCUAAAAUGCCCAAACUCCAAUGAUAUUGAGCCAAAGAUGUGGCAUGACAAACAUGA